Molecule: ribosomal RNA, 440 nt
Filed under: uncultured bacterium
Lineage: Bacteria
Description: partial 16S ribosomal RNA
Rfam family: Bacterial small subunit ribosomal RNA
Source: RNAcentral
CCUACGGGAGGCAGCAGUGGGGGAUAUUGCACAAUGGGGGAAACCCUGAUGCAGCGACGCCGCGUGUGGGAAGACGGUCCUCUGGAUUGUAAACCACUGUCCCCAGGGACGAAGAUGACGGUACCUGGGGAGGAAGCUCCGGCUAACUACGAGCAAGCAGCGGCGGUAAUACGUAGGGAGCGAGCGUUGUGCGGAAGUACUGGGGGUAAAGGGAGCGUAGGCGGGGAUGCAAGUUGGGUGUCAAAACUACCGGCUCAACUGGUAGUCGCACUCGAAACUGCAGCUCUUGAGUGAAGUAGAGGCAGGCGGAAUGCCUAGUGUAGCGGUGAAAUGCGUAGAUAUUAGGAGGAACCCCAGUGGCGAAGGCGGCCUGCUGGGCUUUUACUGACGCUGAGGCUCGAAAGUGUGGGGAGCAAACAGGAUUAGAUACCCUUGUAGUC